AUACAUGCAAGUCGAACGCUUUGUCUUUAAUUGAUCUGACGAGCUUGCUCUGAUGUGAUUUUAUCUGACAAAGAGUGGCGAACGGGUGAGUAACACGUGGGUAACCUACCUCUUAGCAGGGGAUAACAUUUGGAAACAAGUGCUAAUACCGUAUAAUACCAACAACCGCAUGGUUGUUGGUUGAAAGAUGGUUCUGCUAUCACUAAGAGAUGGACCCGCGGUGCAUUAGCUAGUUGGUAAGGUAACGGCUUACCAAGGCAAUGAUGCAUAGCCGAGUUGAGAGACUGAUCGGCCACAAUGGGACUGAGACACGGCCCAUACUCCUACGGGAGGCAGCAGUAGGGAAUCUUCCACAAUGGGCGCAAGCCUGAUGGAGCAACGCCGCGUGUGUGAUGAAGGGUUUCGGCUCGUAAAACACUGUUAUAAGAGAAGAACGGCACUGAGAGUAACUGUUCAGUGUGUGACGGUAUCUUACCAGAAAGGAACGGCUAAAUACGUGCCAGCAGCCGCGGUAAUACGUAUGUUCCAAGCGUUAUCCGGAUUUAUUGGGCGUAAAGCGAGCGCAGACGGUUAUUUAAGUCUGAAGUGAAAGCCCUCAGCUCAACUGAGGAAUGGCUUUGGAAACUGGAUGACUUGAGUGCAGUAGAGGAAAGUGGAACUCCAUGUGUAGCGGUGAAAUGCGUAGAUAUAUGGAAGAACACCAGUGGCGAAGGCGGCUUUCUGGACUGUAACUGACGUGAGGCUC
This 745-nucleotide ribosomal RNA is filed under the name Weissella paramesenteroides. RNAcentral describes it as "bacterial SSU rRNA". It matches the Rfam family "Bacterial small subunit ribosomal RNA", at positions 51 to 754 of the family's 1533-position model. Lineage: Bacteria; Bacillati; Bacillota; Bacilli; Lactobacillales; Lactobacillaceae. The record is from RNAcentral.